RNAcentral lists this unclassified non-coding RNA (167 nucleotides) under soil metagenome. RNAcentral describes it as "partial internal transcribed spacer 1". The record is from RNAcentral.
GUGAAUUAAACAUGCUUGGCGUCUUCGCUUCGGCAAGGCCCUUGCUUAAAUCACAUCCUAACACCUGUGAACUGUAAGACGUAUGAUGAGGUCUUUGGCCAAGUCAUCGUCUGCCCAUUUUUAACAAACAAUUAAUGUAACAAACGUAGUCUUAUUAUAACCUAAUA